This 113-nucleotide ribosomal RNA is filed under the name Escherichia coli. RNAcentral describes it as "partial 23S ribosomal RNA". It matches the Rfam family "Bacterial large subunit ribosomal RNA", at positions 2815 to 2925 of the family's 2925-position model. Lineage: Bacteria; Pseudomonadati; Pseudomonadota; Gammaproteobacteria; Enterobacterales; Enterobacteriaceae. The record is from RNAcentral. RNAcentral also lists the same sequence under 2 other names.
ACCCUUUAAGGGUCCUGAAGGAACGUUGAAGACGACGACGUUGAUAGGCCGGGUGUGUAAGCGCAGCGAUGCGUUGAGCUAACCGGUACUAAUGAACCGUGAGGCUUAACCUU